GCGUCAGUAGUGCAAUGGUUAAGCACGCGCCCCCGGAAAGGGUGAAGUGCUGGUUCAAGUCCCGUAUGAGGUC
This is a non-coding RNA of Parelaphostrongylus tenuis, 73 nucleotides long. NCBI's taxonomy places the organism in Eukaryota, Metazoa, Nematoda, Chromadorea, Rhabditida, Metastrongylidae. The record is from the annotation of a GenBank genome assembly.